Molecule: ribosomal RNA, 470 nt
Filed under: uncultured Synergistaceae bacterium
Lineage: Bacteria; Thermotogati; Synergistota; Synergistia; Synergistales; Synergistaceae
Description: bacterial SSU rRNA
Rfam family: Bacterial small subunit ribosomal RNA
Source: RNAcentral
GACGGGGCCCGCACAAGCGGAGGAACAUGUGGUUUAAUUCGAUGAUACGCGAGGAACCUUACCUGGGCUAGAACGCAUUCGGAAUCAGGCCGAAAGGUCUGCGCCAGCGAUGGCCGGUUGCGAGGUGCUGCAUGGUUGUCGUCAGCUCGUGCCGUGAGGUGUCGGGUUAAGUCCCGCAACGAGCGCAACCCCUGCAUUCAGUUGCCAUCGGGUAAUGCCGGGCACUCUGGAAGGACUGCCAUCGACAAGAUGGAGGAAGGUGGGGAUGACGUCAAGUCAUCAUGGCCCUUAUGUCCAGGGCGACACACGUGCUACAAUGGCCGGCACAACGGGAAGCGAGUUCGCGAGGACAAGCGGAUCCCUUAAAGCCGGUCGCAGUUCGGAUUGAAGUCUGCAACUCGACUUCAUGAAGCUGGAAUCGCUAGUAAUCGUGGAUCAGCCAAGCCGCGGUGAAUACGUUCCCGGGCCUU